CUUUAUUUCAAUACAAACAGCUAUUCCUAAAAUAUACAAAACACACAUUUAAUUUUUCGAAAUUUUAUUUAACCUUUAACCUAGGCAAAUCUGUUAAGAAAAAAAAUCUUAUUUACAAUGAGUGCCUACACCGGAUGACGUUAGGCCAAUUGUGCGCCACCAUAUAGCACUUCUAAUCACAGCUGGUUGUGUUACAGACUAGAAUCGAACCAGAGAGUCUGUAAUAAGGCCUCUAUCGCUGAUAUGCAGUGCUUUAGACCACUGUGCCACAAAUAUUACAAUAGUAAUAAGACUAAUGCAGAAAACAGUGCCACUCAAAACCUGAGCUUCAUCAUAUGAAACCUUUAAAAAAGCUUUUAAUAUCUCAAAAAUAUUGUUUAAUGUAUUCAUUCUGCAAUUGUUGCUCUUGUCAGUCCCUUUAUUCACUUUGAUUUAUUAUUUCACACACUUUUGUCUCUGUUGCUCGUUGCUCUGAUUGUUGUAAUCUGGUUGUAACACUGGUUUGUCAGGUUUACAAUGUACAAUUAUGAUGAUAAUGACGACAAAACCUACUGUCAUGCGCUAUUGCUGUACAAAGAUGAAAUAUGGAACUAUUUUCCCUCGCUGAUUCUUCCCUCACAAUGCAGUCACAUCAUCCUUGUCUCUGCCCCCCUCACUCCUAUCCUCAGACCAGAUGGCACUACCAGAGAAUUGAUGCAGGUCUAUCAGCAAACCUCCUCCUCCACUUUUUUCUCCUCCCACUGCUCCCUCAUCACUCUCUCCAUCCUCUUUGCUUUCCCACUUUUCCUCCAUAUUCUCCUCUCUCUCCUCCUCACGCUCUCUUAUCUCUUCCUUCUCGCCCGUGAGCUUUGCUCUCUCCCUCAGGUCACAGCCCUCCAUGCUGGAGUAGUCAUCCGACGAGUCAUCCCCUCUGUCUUCCCUCUCCUCGCCCUCCUCCUCCCCCUCAUUUUCCCUUCCCUCGCUCCCUCUCUCCACAUCCCUCUCUUCAUUUUUGUGUUCCUCCUCUCUUAUGGCCUCCUCAUCCGCGCCAAGGGGCCACAGCCGGCACCCAAGCCGCACUUCCAGGACUCUGACCCCAGCCAUGAUCCGGUCCCUGGCCCCAUCCUGCCCAUAGACCAGUUGGCGGACUGUGUACUGGCCAUUAGUCUUGCGGUUCAGCCACAUGUACAGGAAGACCAGGAGGCAAACAAGGAAGACCAGGAGGAAGAAGGCAAUCAAUACUUUUCUGGUGGAUGUCGUUUUGUCAUAUACGUUGUUCAUGCCUAGAAGUGAAGAGUAAAAUUGGAAUGACUGUUUAGACUGACAUUUGAAAGGGACAUUUGGUUGGGAUCUUAACACCAAGUGAAUCUGGAUCUAAGGGGUUUUACAAUGUCUGUAUGAUUCGGAUCCUGAAGUGUUUCAUUUGGCCUGAUCUGCACUGUAAACAAUUAUAUUUCAAUUGUCAAACCGAAUUUAAAUGGAAUUGACCCCACCUUGAUGGUCACAAAAUACAAGUCUCUUAAUCUAAAGCUUUUCAAGUCCAGUCAUGCUUGGCCUUUUAUUAGAACAAAAUAAAUCCUCUCAGAAUAUCAAAACCAUAAACCC
Molecule: long non-coding RNA, 1584 nt
Organism: Oncorhynchus tshawytscha (Chinook salmon)
Lineage: Eukaryota; Metazoa; Chordata; Actinopteri; Salmoniformes; Salmonidae
Source: Ensembl